RNAcentral lists this unclassified non-coding RNA (342 nucleotides) under soil metagenome. RNAcentral describes it as "partial contains 5.8S ribosomal RNA, internal transcribed spacer 2, and large subunit ribosomal RNA". The stretch from base 1 to 120 matches the Rfam family "5.8S ribosomal RNA", at positions 35 to 154 of the family's 154-position model. The record is from RNAcentral.
GAUGAGGAACGUAGCGAAAUGCGAUAAGUAAUGUGAAUUGCAGAAUUCAGUGAAUCAUCGAAUCUUUGAACGCACAUUGCGCCCGCCAGCACUCUGGCGGGCAUGCCUGUUCGAGCGUCAUUUCAACCAUCAAGCCCCCAGGGGCUUGUGCUGGGGCCCUGCGGCUGCCCGCAGGCCCUGAAAACCAGUGGCGGGCUCGCUAGUCACACCGAGCGCAGUAGCACAUCUCGCUCAGGGCGUGCGGCGGGCUCCUGCCGUGAAACCCCCCACUGUAACCCCAAAGGUUGACCUCGGAUCAGGUAGGAAUACCCGCUGAACUUAAGCAUAUCAAUAAGCGGAGGA